ACAGGGAUUGCCUCAGUAACGGCGAGUGAAGCGGCAAAAGCUCAAAUUUGAAAUCCCCCGGGAAUUGUAAUUUGAAGGUGGCCUCAGUUAGUCCAAACAUUCUUAAGUCCAUUGGAAAAUGGCGCCAUGGAGGGUGAUAGCCCCGUAAAGAUGUCGUUUGUUCUAUUUUCUCUGGCCACCAAAGAGUCGAGUUGUUUGGGAAUGCAGCUCUAAGUGGGUGGUAAAUUCCAUCUAAAGCUAAAUAUUGGCGAGAGACCGAUAGCGAACAAGUACAGUGAUGGAAAGAUGAAAAGCACUUUGAAAAGAGAGUGAAAAAGUACGUGAAAUUGUUGAAAGGGAAGGGCUUGCAAGCAGACACAACCUCGUGUUGGGCCAGCAUCGGGGCGAGAGGAAGUAAAAACGAUUUGGAAAUGUAACUUUCGAGUAUUAUAGACCUUAUCCCUCCCUUCCAUCUCAUCCCGAGGCCU
RNAcentral lists this ribosomal RNA (467 nucleotides) under Metschnikowia australis. RNAcentral's name for it is "partial large subunit ribosomal RNA". It matches the Rfam family "Eukaryotic large subunit ribosomal RNA", at positions 68 to 495 of the family's 3401-position model. The record is from RNAcentral. Lineage: Eukaryota; Fungi; Ascomycota; Pichiomycetes; Serinales; Metschnikowiaceae.